GGCGGUGUAGCUCAGAGGUAGAGCAAACGGCUCAUAACCGUUGGGUCAGGGGUUCAAUUCCCCUCACCGCCACCA
This 75-nucleotide transfer RNA is filed under the name Acidobacteriota bacterium. Its description in RNAcentral is "Acidobacteria bacterium (activated sludge metagenome) tRNA-Met". It matches the Rfam family "tRNA". Rfam says of the family: Transfer RNA (tRNA) molecules are approximately 80 nucleotides in length. The record is from RNAcentral. Lineage: Bacteria; Pseudomonadati; Acidobacteriota.